GACGAACGCUGGCGGCGUGCUUAACACAUGCAAGUCGAACGGAAAGGCCUGUUUCGGGGGGUACUCGAGUGGCGAACGGGUGAGUAACAAGUGAGUAACUUGCCCUUGACUUUGGGAUAACUUCAGGAAACUGGGGCUAAUACCUGAUAGGAGCUCCAGCUGCAUGGUGGGGGUUGGAAAGUUUCGGCGGUUGGGGAUGGACUCGCGGCUUAUCAGCUUGUUGGUGGGGUAGUGGUUUACCAAGGCUUUGACGGGUAGCCGGCCUGAGAGGGUGACCGGCCACAUUGGGACUGAGAUACGGCCCAGACUCCUACGGGAGGCAGCAGUGGGGAAUAUUGCACAAUGGGUGGAAGCCUGAUGCAGCAACGCCGUGUGCGGGACGACGGCCUUCGGGUUGUAAACCGCUUUCGCUCAUGACGAAGCUUUGUGUGACGGUAGUGGGUAAAGAAGCACCGCCUAACUACGU
Molecule: ribosomal RNA, 466 nt
Filed under: uncultured bacterium
Lineage: Bacteria
Description: partial 16S ribosomal RNA
Rfam family: Bacterial small subunit ribosomal RNA
Source: RNAcentral